Lacerta agilis (Sand lizard) is the source of this 197-nucleotide long non-coding RNA. RefSeq lists it as uncharacterized. Lineage: Eukaryota; Metazoa; Chordata; Lepidosauria; Squamata; Lacertidae. The transcript has 2 exons. The record is from RefSeq and is a predicted model, not a curated record.
UCUCCCACUGCAACUUCACCUCCGGCUCCCUGCAUUCCGGCUGCCACACUCCACUGCUUGGCAAGGAACAACUAACAAGAAAGGUGACUCGAAGUGACAGCGUUUUGUCUUUAGAAAUGAUAGAGGUCUGCUGAAGUGGAGCCUUUCAAAACUGCCAGAGCAUCACACUGUAUAAUACAGAUGAAAAUUCCAACUUA